RNAcentral lists this ribosomal RNA (490 nucleotides) under uncultured bacterium. Its description in RNAcentral is "partial 16S ribosomal RNA". It matches the Rfam family "Bacterial small subunit ribosomal RNA", at positions 30 to 507 of the family's 1533-position model. The record is from RNAcentral.
AUUGAACGCUGGCGGCAGGCCUAACACAUGCAAGUCGAAUGGUAACAGGAAACAGCUUGCUGUUUCUCUGACGAGUGGCGGACGGGUGAGUAAUGUCUGGGAAACUGCCUGAUGGAGGGGGAUAACUACUGGAAACGGUAGCUAAUACCGCAUAACGUCGCAAGGCCAAAGAGGGGGACCUUCGGGCCUCUUGCCAUCAGAUGUGCCCAGAUGGGAUUAGCUAGUAGGUGGGGUAACGGCUCACCUAGGCGACGAUCCCUAGCUGGUCUGAGAGGAUGACCAGCCACACUGGAACUGAGACACGGUCCAGACUCCUACGGGAGGCAGCAGUGGGGAAUAUUGCACAAUGGGCGCAAGCCUGAUGCAGCCAUGCCGCGUGUAUGAAGAAGGCCUUCGGGUUGUAAAGUACUUUCAGCGGGGAGGAAGGGAGUAAAGUUAAUACCUUUGCUCAUUGACGUUACCCGCAGAAGAAGCACCGGCUAACUCCGUG